GUCAGUUACCAUGAGACUGGGCUUGUUAUAAAAGUGAGUUCAGGCCUCUCUUGAUCUUGCUUUCUCUGGAGCAUCCUUUCUUGACCUUCCACCUUCCUUUUCCACCUUCCACUAUGAAAUGAUGCAACAGGAAGGCUCUCCUUAGAUGCUAGCACUUUGAUAUUGGACUUUUAAACCUCCAAGACUUUCCACGUGGCUGGGGAAGCCUCAUGAUUAUAGCAGAAGGCAAGGAGGAGCAAGUCACAUCUUACAUGGAUGGCAGCAGGCAAAGAGGGAGCUUGUGCUGAUCAAACCACCAGAUUUUGUGAGAUUUAUUCACCAUCACAAGAACAGCACAAGGAAGACCCUCCCCCACAAUUCAAUUACCUCCCACCAUGUCCCUCCCACAACACGUGGGAAUUCAAGCCCUGCUCCAAGGCUAGAUGAAAUCUUCACUCUUGCCAGAGCCAUUCUCAAUAAACAUUUGCUGAAGAAAUGCUUGCUACCUGAAUGAAUGAUCAGAAGCCGGAAAAAUCAGCUUUCAAAAGGAGCUUAGGAACAAGCAGAGAGAAAAUCCCACCUCAAAGGAUCUGGAGAACUGGCCAGAGAUCACCCCAGAAGAGAGUACAGGAGCCAGGAUUUGGACGCAGGUCUCUCUGACUCAAAUCCUUUUCUCUUUCCCUUACUUCAUCCUCCCCCUCAUCUCCUGAAAAUUAGAAGCCGGAUCCUGGAAUACACACAGAAAACCCUCCACCCAUUUUAAGGAUACAUCAAGAUCAAAACUCAUUGAUAUUGUAAUCUUACUAGUUUGAACUUUAAAACAUUUUACUGCCAUAUGGGGACUGGCUUCAAAGAAAUGUUUUAGUGGUGUUACGUUUAAUGCCUUGUGUUUAUGUAGAAUUACAUAUCCUAU
This 892-nucleotide long non-coding RNA is filed under the name Homo sapiens (human). RNAcentral describes it as "HSALNT0322728". Lineage: Eukaryota; Metazoa; Chordata; Mammalia; Primates; Hominidae. The record is from RNAcentral.